Molecule: ribosomal RNA, 250 nt
Filed under: uncultured bacterium
Lineage: Bacteria
Description: partial 16S ribosomal RNA
Rfam family: Bacterial small subunit ribosomal RNA
Source: RNAcentral
GACGAAGGUGGCAACCGUUGUUCGGAAUCACUGGGCAUAAAGAGCACGUAGGCGGGCCUGUAAGUCGGGUGUGAAAUACCUCGGCCCAACCGAGGAACUGCGCCCGAUACUGCAGGCCUUGAGGACAGGAGGGGAGCGUGGAAUUCCUGGUGGAGCGGUGAAAUGCGUUGAUAUCAGGAGGAACACCGGCGGCGAAGGCGACGCUCUGGCCUGUUUCUGACGCUGAGGUGCGAAAGCCAGGGGAGCAAAC